This 491-nucleotide ribosomal RNA is filed under the name uncultured Sphingobacteriales bacterium. Its description in RNAcentral is "bacterial SSU rRNA". It matches the Rfam family "Bacterial small subunit ribosomal RNA", at positions 888 to 1382 of the family's 1533-position model. The record is from RNAcentral. Lineage: Bacteria; Pseudomonadati; Bacteroidota; Sphingobacteriia; Sphingobacteriales.
CCCGCUCAGAAACUUAAAGGAAUUGACGGGGCCCGCACAAGCGGUGGAGCAUGUGGUUUAAUUCGAUGAUACGCGAGGAACCUUACCUGGGCUCAAAUGUAUGUUGACGUAUUCUGAAAGGGAUACUUCUUCGGACAAUAUACAAGGUGCUGCAUGGUUGUCGUCAGCUCGUGCCGUGAGGUGUCGGGUUAAGUCCCAUAACGAGCGCAACCCCUAUCAUUAGUUGCCAUCAGGUCAAGCUGGGGACUCUAAUGAAACUGCCUACGCAAGUAGUGAGGAAGGUGGGGAUGACGUCAAAUCAGCACGGCCCUUACGUCCAGGGCUACACACGUGCUACAAUGGCCGGUACAAAGGGCAGCUACCUGGUGACAGGAUGCUAAUCUCAAAAGCCGGUCUCAGUUCGGAUCGGAGUCUGCAACCCGAUUCCGUGAAGCUGGAAUCGCUAGUAAUCGCGCAUCAGCCAUGGCGCGGUGAAUACGUUCCCGGGCCUU